Long non-coding RNA from Micropterus salmoides (largemouth bass), 458 nucleotides. RefSeq lists it as uncharacterized. The record is from RefSeq and is a predicted model, not a curated record. NCBI's taxonomy places the organism in Eukaryota, Metazoa, Chordata, Actinopteri, Centrarchiformes, Centrarchidae. The transcript is spliced from 3 exons.
CUGAUGUUUUGACAACAUUAUUAAAGUAAUAUUUCCUCCUACAUAACAUUAUUUGUUCCUAAAAAAUAAGUUUGUAAUGUUUGUAAACACAGCAGGAAACUACUGAAACAACUUGUUUUUUUUUUAUUGUGAAGGCUUUAGUGGGCGUUUGAGCAGACUGGGUUAACAUUCACUCGUACUUCCUCAUUUCAGACAAAAGAGUUUGUUCUCUACACUGGUGAGAGGAGUCCAGGAUGCUGCAACCAAAUAUAGAGUCCAGUAAUGAAGUGUCCUUCGGGACCUGCAGUGUUUUGCUUCUCCAUCAUGUCAUUCUUCUAAUACAGUCUGUUGGAGCUCUGUCAGAGUUGAUUUGUUCACGUCAACCAAUCGUAGCCCUGGCUGGUGAUGAUGUCAUUUUGCCAUGUCACCUUGAACCUGCAGUCAGUGCCAGUUCUGAGACAGUGGUGUGGACCAAACCU